RNAcentral lists this small nucleolar RNA (151 nucleotides) under Drosophila willistoni. Its description in RNAcentral is "snoRNA:GK26512". Lineage: Eukaryota; Metazoa; Arthropoda; Insecta; Diptera; Drosophilidae. The record is from RNAcentral.
AGGCGAACACGAGUCGCUGGUCUAAAGAAAAAAAACACUUUAGCUAGUGCUUUUUACUUGUUCGUAGAUUAAAACUGUUCUUUGCCCAAGCAUAACCCAAAUUGUUUUCCAGAAAAUUUGCGGUGCAUAUUUCAUCUGUGAAGAGCACAUU